CAGCGGUAUACGCGUCUUCUUUCCAAGUCGGCCAUCAUGGCGGCUGGUAGUGGUUUGUAYUGGUAUUGGUGCGUGUUUAUCACAAGAAAUAUCAUUUUAAAAGCAUCAAACUCAUUGUUAUCAUAACAAAGAAUACGCAGAUGCUACAUUUUCAGGAAAAGAGGGAAUAUUAUGGGAAAAAUAGAUUUUUUUUUACGCCACAACAAUCAGCAUACUAUCGAAGCUUGUAGGUACACUGGGAUCUUCAUCAUCACCAGGAUCCUCAUCAUCGUCAUCAUUAUCAUUCUCAAAAUCAAUGUCGUCAUCUUCAACUGGCUUUAACAGCUGAAUGUUCCAUGCGUAGGAGAGUUGCUGUACAUCUUUAAUGAGGUUUGACAGACAAAUGCUACAUUCGUUAUCUGUCAAACACUCAUGGUGAAAUGAGUGACCACAUGUCAGUCGCUUGGUUGAGGACUCUACUGGUGCUUGACAGUCAUGACUAUCACAAUCCACAGUGCUGUUGGGUUGAAACAAUGGCCAUCUAUAACCCAAAGGCAGACUUUUCCUACAGAAGGCUUUGUUAAAGCUUGCAAGAUGGAAUGAAGAUUUCCCGUAUGGUUUGCCAGCCUUGUUAAUUGGUCUUGGGAGCUCAUAUGACUGACCAAGAUUUGUUGCUACACGUUCAAACAUUUCCAUGAUACUUUCAGCUGCUAGACCUGAAAAAAAGACUACAUGUUASAACUAUAKACAUACAUGUAUGUUUAUAAGCACAGUAUUCAUGUUUGGAAUUGAAUUGAUGGAUAUACAGAUUGAAUCUAGUUUGACAAUGAAUUUUUUAAUUAUUAUUACCAGACAGUAGAAGCAAAUCUUGGUCACUAAUUCCUCGUUKGUAGCCAUUGACAUAGUCUUCUUCRAAGUAGUUCGGUUCACAAUUGGACCUGGCCAGUAGACGGGCUGUUUCUUGAAUUUGUGCGGCUUUGUCAUUUUUACUUAUUCYGCUUCUCAAUCGUGAAUGGAAUAUCUCCACUUUCUUUUCGCUAAUUACAGAGCACAGAUGUUGUUUGGCAUUGUGAUAUUCUUGRAAGGAGCUUUGAUGGUAGUUCUUGUCACUAAUCCAUGACAGAGUGGCUUUAUUAUAAUGGUGGCGUUCCAUAGCUAUAAACAUAAUGGCCAAUCUCUUCAUUGAUUCUUCAAUGUAUUGAAAGCUACCUCCCUUGACAAAAACAGGGUAAUGAAGAAAUGUGAGUGGGACUAGUUCUUCAAAUAAAUGGAACAAACAGA
Actinia tenebrosa (Australian red waratah sea anemone) is the source of this 1260-nucleotide long non-coding RNA. RefSeq lists it as uncharacterized. NCBI's taxonomy places the organism in Eukaryota, Metazoa, Cnidaria, Anthozoa, Actiniaria, Actiniidae. The record is from RefSeq and is a predicted model, not a curated record.